UGGGGAAUUUUGGACAAUGUGCGCAAGCCUGAUCCAGCCAUGCCGCGUGCAGGAUGAAGGCCUUCGGGUUGUAAACUGCUUUUGUACGGAACGAAAAGACUCCUUCUAUUAAAGGGGGUCCAUGACGGUACCGUAAGAAUAAGCACCGUCUAACUACGUGCCAGCAGCCGCGGUAAUACGUAGGGUGCGAUCGUUAAUCGGAAUUACUGGGCGUAAAGCGUGCGCAGGCGGUUAUAUAAGACAGAUGUGAAAUCACCGGGCUCAGCCUGGGGCCUGCAGUUGUGACUGUAUAGCUAGAGUACGGUAGAGGGGGAUGGAAUUCCGCGUGUAGCAGUGAAAUGCAUAGAUAUGCGGAGGAACACCAAUGGCGAAGGCAAUCCCCUGGAACUGUACUGACGCUCAUGCAAGAAAGCGUGGGGAGCAAACA
This 427-nucleotide ribosomal RNA is filed under the name uncultured bacterium. Its description in RNAcentral is "bacterial SSU rRNA". It matches the Rfam family "Bacterial small subunit ribosomal RNA", at positions 355 to 774 of the family's 1533-position model. The record is from RNAcentral.